This 605-nucleotide ribosomal RNA is filed under the name Heliococcus clemente. Its description in RNAcentral is "bacterial SSU rRNA". It matches the Rfam family "Eukaryotic small subunit ribosomal RNA", at positions 24 to 561 of the family's 1831-position model. Lineage: Eukaryota; Metazoa; Arthropoda; Insecta; Hemiptera; Pseudococcidae. The record is from RNAcentral.
UCAUAUGCUUGUCUCAAAGAUUAAGCCAUGCAUGUCUCAGUGCAAGCCGUCUAGUACGGUGAAACCGCGAAAGGCUCAUUAAAUCAGUUAUGGUUCCUUAGAUCGUACCCACGUUACUUGGAUAACUGUGGUAAUUCUAGAGCUAAUACAUGCCGACAGAGUUCCGACCAGCUGCUGGGCUUCGUCCAGCGGUACGGAAGGAACGCUUUUAUUAGAUCAAAACCGGCCAAACGGUCGUCCGCAUUCGUGCGCGACGGCCGUUAGCGGCCCGCGCAAAGACUUGGUGACUCUGAAUAACUUCGAGCUGAUCGCACGGUCUCGUACCGGCGACGUAUCUUUCAAAUGUCUGCCUUAUCAACUGUCGACGGUAGGUUCGACGCCUACCGUGGUGGUAACGGGUAACGGGGAAUCAGGGUUCGAUUCCGGAGAGGGAGCCUGAGAAACGGCUACCACAUCCAAGGAAGGCAGCAGGCGCGCAAAUUACCCACUCCCAGCUCGGGGAGGUAGUGACGAAAAAUAACGAUACGGGACUCAUUCGAGGCCCCGUAAUCGGAAUGAGUACACUUUAAAACCUUGGUCACACGAGGAUCAAUUAGGMAGGCAAG